Meleagris gallopavo (turkey) is the source of this 1052-nucleotide non-coding RNA. NCBI's taxonomy places the organism in Eukaryota, Metazoa, Chordata, Aves, Galliformes, Phasianidae. The record is from RefSeq and is a predicted model, not a curated record.
CGGGGCUCGAGGUGAGCGGUGCUGUGAUGUCCCCCUGUUGCAGCUGUGGGAGAACGAGGCCACCAAGGAGCAGCUGAUGUCCUCCAUGGGGAUCGACAGGCUGGGAACGCCAUCGGACGUGGCCGAGGUGGUGGCAUUCCUCUGCUCCCCCGCCGCCUCCUACGUGGUGGGAGAAACCGUGGUGGUGGCCGGGGGGACCCCGUCCCGCCUCUAAAGGAGCCCGGAGAGUGCUGGGAUGGCAUCGCUGCGGCAGCGGGGGUGGUCUGGGAGAGACAUCCGUGUCUGGGGGGGAGCUCUGGGGACACCUGACGGGAUGCUGAGGCUUAGUCCAGGAGGAUGAGGGGACCCGCAGGGGACGUCCAGGUCUACGGGAGGUACUUGGGGCCAUCCGGGGGGAGCUGGGGCCUGCAGAAAACCUCUGGGUGUGCCAUGGAGGUCUUCGUAGGCCCCAGUGUCCCCUUGGAUGUCCCCGUAGGGUUUCUAGGGGGAUCAACAGGGAAUACUGAGGCUUACAGAAGCAUCUGGGGACAUGUGGGGUGGUCUAUAAGGAAUACUGAGGGCUGUAGGGGGUGCUUGGGAUUUGUGGGGGAUAUUGUGGGCUACAGAGAAGCGUAAGGGGCUUUGUAGGAGACACUGAAGUCAAUAUGGGGCAUUUGGGGAAAUCUAUGGGGACAUGGAAGCAUAGGGACACCCUCAGGGACACUGGGAUCCGUAGGGGACAUUCUAGGAGCUACAGGUAGAUUUAGGUCACUUCAGUAUGUUUGGGGCACUUUGGAUCCCCCAAUAAAUCCACUGACGCUGCCCUGGUUACAGCUCAGAGGUGUCUCUUUGGGGCCAUUGUGGAGGCCGUCCCAGCACUCAGCAUGGGAGUGACCAUCCUGGCAGUGUUGGCAGCCAUCUUGAAGGGACAGGCAUUAUCUUGAGGUGGCAUCUUCUUGGGCCUCUUGCAAUACCCCAUUUCCUCAUGCCCCCUGUUAGCACUAACAAGCAGCACAAUGGCAAUUAGCAGGGCCCAUUUAUUGCCAGGGACAAUAAACGACCAUAGAAUCACA